This 22-nucleotide non-coding RNA is filed under the name Sclerotinia sclerotiorum. Lineage: Eukaryota; Fungi; Ascomycota; Leotiomycetes; Helotiales; Sclerotiniaceae. The record is from RNAcentral.
UCGUAGUGAUCACGGACUUGUU